This 19-nucleotide unclassified non-coding RNA is filed under the name Mus musculus (house mouse). Its description in RNAcentral is "oocyte_clustered_small_RNA13113". The record is from RNAcentral. Lineage: Eukaryota; Metazoa; Chordata; Mammalia; Rodentia; Muridae.
CUUCACCGACGCUUUUGAU